CGCGUAGGCGGCCGGCCAAGUCGGAUGUGAAAUCCCUCGGCUCAACCGAGGAACUGCACUCGAUACUGGUUGGCUAGAGUCCGGGAGGGGAUGGUGGAAUUCCCAGUGUAGCGGUGAAAUGCGUAGAUAUUGGGAAGAACACCGGUGGCGAAGGCGGCCAUCUGGACCGGAACUGACGCUGAGGCGCGAAGCCAGGGGAGCGAAUG
This 206-nucleotide ribosomal RNA is filed under the name uncultured bacterium. RNAcentral describes it as "partial 16S ribosomal RNA". It matches the Rfam family "Bacterial small subunit ribosomal RNA", at positions 568 to 774 of the family's 1533-position model. The record is from RNAcentral.